RNAcentral lists this long non-coding RNA (214 nucleotides) under Nicotiana benthamiana. RNAcentral describes it as "long non-coding RNA (NBEN_LNC035948)". The record is from RNAcentral. Lineage: Eukaryota; Viridiplantae; Streptophyta; Magnoliopsida; Solanales; Solanaceae.
AACACUUGAAAACUUCAAUUCAACAACUCCACAAUGUUUCACGAAUUUGCAACAAAAAUUAAGCACUUGCACUAGAAAGAUCGAAAGAGAGCUUGAGAGAGAUUGAGAGAGAUUGAUGAAUUGGUGAAUUAAAAUGAAGAAUGAGGGGGUAUUUAUAGUUGAGAAAUGGGAAAUUGUGUAAUUAUAUAAAGUUUGAGGUUAAAUUAAAUUUGAG